AUGUACUCUAUCACACCUGAAAUAGUCAGGAAUCGUAGCUUCCAGUUUUUUGUGCCUAAUUACAACCCCCUAAUCUCUUCAUGUAAACCGUCAUCGACUGAUUAACCUUAAUGCGACUUGAAGCUAUCACCACAGGGAUCCUAGCAAAACACCAAUGCAUACGCAGCACAAUCUCCAACCAAAUAAUAAUUACACCGGGAACUAAACUUCUCACCCUAUCCAUGUCUCUCUUCAUGGACCGAAUCAAUUCCCUUUGUGGUACAAGGCCCAAAUCAUUAC
Molecule: non-coding RNA, 279 nt
Organism: Pelobates cultripes (western spadefoot toad)
Lineage: Eukaryota; Metazoa; Chordata; Amphibia; Anura; Pelobatidae
Source: the annotation of a GenBank genome assembly